AUAAUUAUAUAAAGGGGAAUAUUUGAUCAAUCUAGCUCUGCCAAAUGUGUAUGUAUAUUUAGUUGAAAUAGAAAUUUUAUUAAGAAAAAAGAAAGAAAAAUCUAGACCCAUGAGUGCACAAGCGCGACUGAGGGCCGAGCCUCAUUAAAACCUCUUCAAGAAAGAGAAAAAAAGAGUGUCCGUCUAGAAAAAAAAAAAACUGGUGGAGAGUGGAAAAGGCCCACCUUAGGAGCUCCGGCCUAACCAUCACCCCUAGGGGGCCCGGCUCACCCAAACCAAAAACAACGAAAAAGAAACCCAAUAAGGGGAGAACAAACCAAAUGCCCGAAAGGCAAAACUCGGGCAGAGCCAGCACACCAAAAGCAGACAGGACAACAACACCCCAACCAAGAAGCAUCCCUGCACGUCCAAACGAAAAGGCUAAGAGCAACAUCCACCUAAAACCAAAAAACAGAGAAGUAGACACAGAAAAAACAACAAAACAAAGAAACAAGCACACCAAAACACAAAAGCAAGAGAGAGACCCCCAUAGGAAAGAUCAAAAACAGUUACUCAAGUAACCGCCACAACAUCCAAGACAGUACACCGCUGAACCCACAUCCAAACACAACACCAUCCUAUCCAGGUCUCCCAAGAUCUGUAACGACCCAAAGAGGUGCGCCAAGCUAAGGCUUUAAGGUGCAACAACAAGCUGAUACAAUUCAAUCCGCUCAGAUCCAAUUCUCCGUUAUGGGUGAAUUUCCUAAUGCAUUGGCCUUUAUAAUCAAACUCAAACCCAUACAGAAUAGGUCUUAAAAAUUCUUGACCACCCUUAAAAAUUCUCGAUAAAAAGGUCAUCUUCACGGGAUGAACACUUUCAGAGGUUAUCCAAAAUGUUCCCACGAGGUUUUCCAUGCUCAUGAAGAUCAACGAAAUCCUCAACGGAGCAGAGACCAAAACUUUAACAGCCGAACCAACCAAACACAUCAGAGAAAGAUAUUAGGCAAUGCAAUGAAAACACUCCCCAUAACAUCUACUGGACAAAUUGCAUCAAAGAAAUUGCUCACCAAGGUGUUGCACCCAGAACAUUAAACUCAUAGCACCACAGGGGCAGCAAAACCAGAAGAGACCGGGAUAACAACCACAACAAAACACCACAUCAGGGUCAACCGGUGGAUCGUCCAGCAUGAGUGGAGUACUCAAUAACCAGCAAUCGAUCAAACAAUGACGACCAAACUCCCCGCAGCACAACCAAACAAGCAAAGAACAAAGACGAGCAGUGCAAAGAGAAGAGAAGAAGAGAACAUAACCUGAAAUGAGAAACGCC
Molecule: long non-coding RNA, 1306 nt
Filed under: Salvia miltiorrhiza (redroot sage)
Lineage: Eukaryota; Viridiplantae; Streptophyta; Magnoliopsida; Lamiales; Lamiaceae
Description: long non-coding RNA (SMIL_LNC006679)
Source: RNAcentral